UGUUCUCACUAGUCUCAUUAUAUCUGGUGAUUAUUCUUAAAGCCCUAGCUCAUGUAGUCAUAUGAACUGAUGAGAAUAUGAACUUACUCUUUUUUUCUCUCCUUUUUUUCUUCAUACAUUUAUAGCCUAUAAGGCCAGAAAAGGCCAUUGUGAUCAUCUGAUUUGACCUCCUGCGUAAACACAGGGCAUAGAACUUUCCUGAAUUAACUUCUGUUUGAACUAAAGCAUAUCUUUUUUAGAAAAACAUCCAAUCUUGAUUUCAAGUGAUGGAGAAUCCCCCGCAGCCUUUGGUACUUAAAGAUUAUGAUCAAGCCCCGCUCUCCAACCUUCGCUUUGUUAAAAUAAACAGAUUGAGCCCUGGACUCUAUCAAUUUAAGAUCAAAAGUCAUGACUUUACCAUCAGAUCUUCACAACUGCACGGAUUCACUCAAGAGGAACUAAUGAGAUGACCAGGGCCUAAAAGGGUUCAAAAGAGC
Long non-coding RNA from Mauremys mutica (yellowpond turtle), 476 nucleotides. RefSeq lists it as uncharacterized. The record is from RefSeq and is a predicted model, not a curated record. Lineage: Eukaryota; Metazoa; Chordata; Testudines; Geoemydidae. The transcript is spliced from 3 exons.